This 34987-nucleotide long non-coding RNA is filed under the name Citrus sinensis (sweet orange). Its description in RNAcentral is "long non-coding RNA (CSIN_LNC003444)". The record is from RNAcentral. Lineage: Eukaryota; Viridiplantae; Streptophyta; Magnoliopsida; Sapindales; Rutaceae.
GAGAGCCAGAUGAAGCUCAUGAAAGCAUUUGAAGACGUGAAAUUUAUGGAUUGGAGGUUGAGUGAGUUGGGAUCUCCUUGGGAAGACUCGGGAUGGCGGGAAAUGUGGGCUUAGGAAGCUCAGGUAGAUGAGGGAAAGAAGGCAAUUCAGGCACUUCAAGUCCUUUUGGCACCUCAAGUUUCGGAAUCUCCGGCAAUUCAGGAUUUUUUGGUAGCUCGGGCUUUAAAAUCUCAGGUGCUUUAGGUUUUUUUGGUAGCUCAGGCAAUUCAGGCUUUGGAAUUUGUGGUAGUUCAAGUUUUGGUAACGGUGGUAGUUCAAACUUAGGCAAUCCAGGCUUGGGUAUUUCUGGAACUGCUGCCUCCAAAAGAUGGCGAGCAUCGACCAAAUCGAUGUUAUAGCUCAUUGACGAUAAAGUGAUUAGCAAAAGUGGUAUCAUAACGGAUGGGAGAGAGAAAGACGCCAUGGUUGAACUAUUGGCGAAUAAGACUUUAAGAGAUGCAUGAAAGAUAUAUUGUGUUGUAAUAAUAAGAAUCAAAAGAAAAGGGAUCAAGUGUGUUUGUGCAUUGAUUUUCAUGUGUUACGAGGCUUUUAUAGGUGUGGGGAAGUGUUGAAUAAAGGGUUUAAAUAUUGGGUACGUAUGACUAAAAUAGUAUAACAUAAAUAAAUUAUGCUUGGGUUAGUACUCGGUAAGAAAUUUAUGUCUUCUUAGUUCAUCAACCUCUCACUUCUGCUAACUCCACAUACAUCAUAAUGUACGAUUAUAUAUCAUUGUAUAAUAUGUUAUGUAAGCAAUUAUAUUGUAGUGAAAUCGUUAUAUGGAGGAAUGAUUCUUUAUCUUUUUAUGUAUUCAGAAAAAGGGCAAAUGGCUAAAACAAUAAUCUCUAAAUAAUUUUUUUGUUCAAUACUUUUCCAAAAAAAAAAUUACUAUUAAUAAAGUUCAUGUGGUAAGGAGUAGUCUUUCUAAAGCUCAAAUCUUGGGUUCAAACUUUCAAGUGUGCGUGAAUCUAUAAUAAGAAAAGAAAAAAAAUUAAUAUUAAUAAAUAACUUUCUGGCCAUAUGUCAAAAGACAUCUAAUUGGCAUAAGUUUCACUAAAUUAGAUCUUGUUAAUUAAUAUAGGGAAAUAUAUAUCUCUAUUUUAAUUUAACAGUCAAUCUUUUAGCAUUUGUAGCUUCCCUUUCCAAAAACAGACUUAUACGUAAUUGACUUCCAUUUCCUUGUGGAUGUUAAUACCCAAUUGUCAUCUCUCUUAUUCCCAUCUUUUCCUGUCCAAUUAAUUUAUCAGAUUGUCUUCUCAUUGUAUUUGAAUUCUACAGGAAAGAAGAUUGCACGCUUCAUGAUGAAGAUUUUGUGCCUGAUUAAUUAGCUUGUGGUUGGAUGCAGAACUUGUAUAUUCCAUUCAUACAGACAAUCUAUUGUUGUAUGCGAACGGUAACUACCUUUUUAAUUUUUUUUUUCAAUUAUCAUUAUUUCUCCCAGAUAUAAAGAUAAUAAAGUCCGAUUUUCUUAGUAAAAUCAAAUGAUUAGUCAGAUUAAUACUCGGUCUCCACGCUUUUUGAUGGUUUUGUCAAAGAAAUCUCAAGAAUAUCCAUGCGGAACAAGGAUGUAUGUUUGGGAAGGAGAAAGCAGAGAUAAUCAUCUCAUUAAUUAAGCAUCCAAAGUACCAUGCUAAUUGAUCAUUUUUCUAAACAUAAUUAUUUGAAAGCCAUUUUCUUGAAAUUGGUCAUUUUACUAAAGGGAGUACGAACUUUGAUCUGGGUCAGAAAAUCAACCAGACCCACCUUUAUGGGCCAAACAUUACUCUGCUUUUUCCGCGCUGGGCUUGGGUUGAGUGACCUCGUGGCAUUGCUGUUUGGUGUUUGCAAAAUUUUAGCUGAACCGAAUGUGAAUAUGUGAUGAACGAGGAAGUAUAUAUAGCAACAAACAUUUUUGUACAAACAACAUAUAUUUAUAUGUGUGUGUGUGUUCCAAGGGUUUGCAAGAAAAUAAUAAAUCUGACACACUAAACAUAAAUCAUUGCUCGUUUAAUUUUUUUUUUUUUUUUAACUUAGGUAACAAUAGGCUCAAAGUGUAUUCACGACCAACUGAGCUAUGUUCUAUAAUUUUUGUUGUACAAAUUUAAGUGAAAUAUUAUAAUUAUUUGAAUUUAAAAAUAUGAUAUGGUCUACAAAAUUAUUUGCACAAGUGUUUAUGGAUCUACAAUUAUUAUUAAGUAAUAUCGUAUACACUUAAUAUACUAAUUGAACUGCAGAAGGUAUAGUUUAGCUAUGAAAGUGUGAUUCAUUGAUUCAAUUAAUGGUUAAGAGAUUCUUAAGUUCAAUAAUGAAGGGAAAUAAAAAAAAAACUUUAUUUCUUGUCAUUAUGAAUUAUAAUUAAUAUGAUGAUAUUAUGGAGCAAAUUGUGGGCAUAAAACGUGAACCAACCCCUUCAUUAACAAGGACGCAAGGCAUGUUUCCAUCGUUAGUCAGUCUUCUACACCAACUACUUAAUGUUGUGCGCGGAAUACGGAAUCAAACGCACCAAAUAAUUACAGAAAAAUAAAGGACACAAGAAUUACGUGGUUCAGCAAUAUGCCUACGUCCACGGGAGCAAGAGAAAAAUAAUUGUAUUAUUAAUAAUUAUUUGAGUACAAAUUUGAGUAAAGAAACCUCAUUUUUCUAGAACCCAAAUACAUCUAGUACUCUCACACACUCUCCAAUUGCUCACACUCUUCAAAACUCUCAAAAACUUAAAAACUUAUAAGCUUAACAAAUUUAGGGAUGAUUUCGAAUGAAGAAAUGACUUCAAUUUAUAGGCUUCAAGCUUGCACUAUUCCACCUAAUCCCUUUGCAAUUUGUCAAUCUUCAUCUCUGUCAAUUUGACAAGUUUUGCUAACUUUUCCAUUUUUCUUCAUUUGGUGCAGGAUUGUCAAAUGCCAAAUAUUCUAUAGCUUGCAAUUUUGAAUUUGGAAGCCACUUUAUUGACUAGUGUAUUUAAGGGUAUGAGAGUUCCAAUUUGCGACAACUGAGGAUGCAGAUUAAUUCUGCCCAGUGCUGCAGCACUUGCUGUAACAAUUGGAGUCAACUUGAUGAAAAACAGUCAGCCCAUAAGGAGAGUUUGAUCAUUCAACUACCAUAAUCUAAAUUGAAUCUUAGACACAUUUUAUUUGGUUUAAUUCAUUACAGUACUGUUUACUUUAUUCUCUCACAAUCAUCAAUUACAAUAGAACCCACUCUACAUUUAUUAACUUUGGAUUGAAUUUAGUUGCAUUAUUGUGAUUGCUAUAGCAUUUCAAGUGACAUCAAUCCCUGUGGAGACGAUCUUGAAUAUUCAUCACUUUAUUACUUGCUGUGUACACUUGCACAUUGACAUCAAUAACAUUUGAUUAUAAAAAUAACCAACAAUAGGCUACCACCAUGUCUUUAGUAAGCCAUCCGGGUUUCUUUAUCUCUCUUCUUGGCCUCAUUAUUGCUAUAAAUUAUCAUUAUCUACAUCAUCAAUUGUUUCUUCAUUUUGUGGGACAUCAGAAGAAACAACCUCUUCAACUCUAGGUGUCACCUCCAUAGUUGAACCCUUCUCUGACGUAGAACUAACUGUUACAUAUGGAGUUGCAUCAAACUCCACCCGCUGCAAUACCUCUGUGGUCUUGUUCUCUACUUGUUGAGAACUUGAAGCUUCAUCAAACGUGACAUCUCUGCUACACACAAACUUUUUGUCUUCGAGAUCCCAAAGUUUGAAGCCCUUUACUCCACCUUUGAAUCCCACAAAGAUAGCUUUUCUAGCACGAUGAUCCAAUUUACCAUCUUUGACAUGAUAAUAAGCUGGACACCCGAAUAUACGAAGGGAAUUAUAGUCUUGUGCAUGCUUUCCAGACCACAUUUCCAUAGGAGUUUUACCUUCAAUUGCAGCAGAAGGCAACUGGUUGAUCAAGUGACUUGUAUAGCCACAACUUUAGCCCAAAACUUUUUAUCUAAACCAGCAUUAGGUAACAUGCACCGUACUUUCUCCAGUAAAGUACUAUUCAUACGAUCAGUCACACCGUUCUGUUGCAGAGUAUGUCUCACCGUGAAAUGUCUUUUAAUACCCUCGUUCUGGCAUACUUGCAAGAAUGGAUCAGAAGUAUAUUCACCUUCAUUAUCAUAUCGUAAUACUGUAAUCUUUCUGUCAGUUUGAGUCUCCACCAAUUUCUUCCAUUUCACGAAAAUCUCUAGAACCUCAUCCUUUGCUCGCAUGGUGUACACCCACACACGUCUAGAGAAAUCAUCAAUAAAUGUAACAAAAUAAUGGCUUCCACCAAUUGAUGCAGUCUUGGUUGGUCCACAUACAUCACUGUGAACAUAUUCAAGGAUCUCACGAGUAUCGUGAUUAGCUAUACCAAAUUUGACCAUUGUUUUCUUGUUUAUUACACAAUGCUCACAGAAAUUUAAUUUACAGGUUUUAGUACCUUUUAAGAGUCCGUGCUUCAUCAGAGUUUGCAAAGAUUUUUCUCCAGCAUGUCCCAAUCGUACAUGCAAUAACUUGGUGGUGUCAUUGUGCGCCUCAGCAACAUUUUCUUUAUCAGUUGUACAUUCCUUCAAAUAGUACAGAUUGUGAUGCCGAACCCCUUGCAGAAUCACAAUAGCACCAUGUGUAAACUUCAUUUGUGCCAUCUUCAAUGGUAACCUUGUAGCCUUUAGCUUCCAAAACACCCACAGAAAUUAGAUUUUUCUUUAAAGCUGGAACAAAUCUAACCUUUUUGAGUUCUCUGAUCAUUCCAUCAAAUAUUUUGAGCCAAAUUCUUCCUAUCCUCAUUGUACAACAAGGUUGAUCAUUCCCUAUCACAACUGCACCGGAUUUCAGAUUACAAAAAUUCUUAAACCAUUCCUUAAUAGGACACAAAUGGUAGGUUGCUCCAGUAUCAAGUAUCCACUCGCUCGAACUAGCCACGUAUACUGUAGGAGUAAUACUUCGUGAAUAAUCAGAGUCUCAUCUUUUAGUGUCAUGUUUGCUGCAAUGACCAUUUUCAUGACAAAAGGCACACUCGUCUCGAGCUAUAUUUCUGCUUCUCGAUUUGGAUUGAGAAUUCUUUCCACCACGCUUUUUCUUUUUCUUCAUCGCCCAAUCUCUGCUCACCAAAGCUUUAGACGAUGCUCGUUCAGAAUUUUUAUCAUUAUUCUGAAUCUCCAAGUUAGUCAAUGCUAUGCAAACAUCUUUGAAGACGAACACACUCUUCCCAUAUAUCAAGGUAGCAAGUAAGUUUUCAAAUCUUGAGACAUGAUCGUGCAUUGAUACCCCAGGCUUCAUUCGAAAGUCAUAUACUUGGCUCAUUGCAUGAAGACGAUUUUCAAGACUUUUUAGCAGGUACUUCUUCCCCAAUGAACGCCACAAAGUCAUCACACACUCCUCAUCUUUCACCAAGUAUUUCACCUCCUUGGUUAAACAAGAUCUAAUCUGACCACAGGCUUUCUCGUUCAUACGAUCCCAAAUUUCUUCAUUAUACAAGUGUCUUUUAUUUUUCAGAACAACAUCGAGAUCGAUUUGAAUAAGGGCAUCCAUAACUUUGCGCCUCCAUAUGCCAAAGUUGAUUUUCCAUCAAACUUUUCAACAUCGAUUUUCUGGCCUCCUAUAACAGGUGCUGAAUAGUGAUUUGACAAAUCUCGUCUCUCACUUGAAGUGUCUUCUGAAAUAGUCUUGGUAGAUCUCUCCCCAAUUAUGGAAGUUUCACCUUCUACCAUUUUCUCAACGAACUAUUUCCACUUGAAAAACAGCCUCUAUGAUGUUAAUUUCGCGUGAAUAAAUGCACCAGAAAAGUUUCCAGGAGAUUGGGCAGGAACUCGAUCCCAAUUAAAAACCAAAAUCCUUAGACUCUUAUCGCCUUGUUGACAAAACUUUCAUAAACAUGCAAAAAUACACACUACUUACAAUAGACUAUCUCCCAAGUACAAAUGGCCUCUCCACCGUAUUCGUGAACAGUACCGUAUACGAGAACAAUACCGUAUACAAGAAUAGUAUCGUAUCCCCCAAGUACGAACCGUCAGCUCUGAUACCACUUGUUGUGCGCGGAAUACCGAAUCAAGCGCACCAAAUAAUUACAGAAAAAAAGGACACAAGAAUUACGUGGUUCAGCAAUAUGCCUACGUCCACAGGAGCAAGAGAAAAAUAAUUGUAUUAUUAACAAUUAUUUGAGUAAAGAAACCUCACUUUGCCAGAACCCAAAUACACUCAGUACUCUCACACACACUCUCCAAUUGCUCACACUCUUCAAAACUCACAAAAGCUUAGAAACUUAUAAGCUUAACAAAUUUAGGGAUGCUUUCGAAUGAACAAAUGACUUUGUAAUGAAUCAUAAAAAGCUCAAAUUGUUAUUUCGGUUAAUGAGAAAUUAGAUCUUAAAUCCAUUGAUUUGAAAGAAAAAAUGAAGGGAAAAUUGGUAAAUCCCACAUUGGCAAGGUGACUAAGAAUUAAUGGUGUGUUUACUUCAUGAAAUGGGGAAUGAGAAUUAAACCCAUGUUUACUUGGUAAAAUGUAAUUUGAGAAUAAGAAUAAAAUAUAUGGGUCCCACAUAAUUUGGGAAUAAGGAAUGAGAAUUUCAUUCCCAUGGGGGGUUGGGAAUGAAAAUGAGGGAAUGAGAAUGUAAUAUAUGUUUACUUUUGUAUCCCUCUAAUUUUUUAAUAUUUCCCAAAUUACCCUCAUUCAAAUCACAAUUAAUUUUAUUAUUUUAAAUGUCAUUAAUAAUAAUAAUAAUAAUAAUAAUUUAAUAAUGCUGUACCGUACAUCCGCCUUGGCCGUACAGCAGUGCCUCAUCAGAGUUUGCAAAGAUUUUUNNNNNNNNNNNNNNNNNNNNNNNNNNNNNNNNNNNNNNNNNNNNNNNNNNNNNNNNNNNNNNNNNNNNNNNNNNNNNNNNNNNNNNNNNNNNNNNNNNNNNNNNNNNNNNNNNNNNNNNNNNNNNNNNNNNNNNNNNNNNNNNNNNNNNNNNNNNNNNNNNNNNNNNNNNNNNNNNNNNNNNNNNNNNNNNNNNNNNNNNNNNNNNNNNNNNNNNNNNNNNNNNNNNNNNNNNNNNNNNNNNNNNNNNNNNNNNNNNNNNNNNNNNNNNNNNNNNNNNNNNNNNNNNNNNNNNNNNNNNNNNNNNNNNNNNNNNNNNNNNNNNNNNNNNNNNNNNNNNNNNNNNNNAGGAAUGGGAAUGAGAAUCAAUUUACCAAAAUACCCAUAGUAUUAAUAAUUAAUAAAAAUAAUUAAUUUAUCAUUAUUAACAAUAUUAUCAUUAUUGUUGUUGUUAUUAUUAUUAUUACAUUAUUAUUAUUAUUAAAAAUAAUAAUAACAAUAAUUAAUAAUAACUAAAAUAAUAAAGUUAUUAAAAUAUAAUAAUAAUAAUAAUAAUAAAUGUUAAUAAUGAUAAUAUUAAUAAAAAUAAUAAUAACAACAACAAUAAUGAUAAUUUUGUUAAUAAUGAUAAAUUAAUUAUUUUUAUUAAUUAUUAAUACUAUGGGUAUUUUGGUAAAUUGAUUCUCAUUCCCAUUCCUUAUUCCCAUUUAUUUUGCUAAUUAAACACAUCAAUUGCAUUCCAGCACAUUCCCAUUCCCAUUUAUUUUUGUCAAGUAAACAUUGAAAUCUCAUUUACAUUCCAGCUCAUUCUCAUUCCACCCCAUUCCUAUUCCUUGAAGUAAACGCACCAUAAAGGUUUUAUAGAUAUUUAUACACGUAUUAUAUGCUAGUAAAAGAUACGGUUAAUUUAUGCAAAUUAUAUUAAUCGAAUUGAUUUUCUAGUUUUCUACUUUUCCUCUCAAGAUAGCGGGAUUAUUUGUGGCCAGUCCAGUCUUUAUGUAUUUUCACAUACAAAACAUUAAUUUUAUAUUAUUAUGUUGUUUUAAAAUAUUUAUACUAUAGCUAGUUUAUAUAAUUCAUUUUCAUCUUUGUUGGUCGAUUAGUGUCAUAUUAAAAAGGGAAUUGAUACCUACCCUUAUAAGGUUUGGGGAAAUGAUCAUUUAAACUCCUAAGUUUUCAAUAAGGAAAAUCAAGACCCUUUUUUACUAUAAUACUCUUUGUAGAUAGUGACUAAAAAAUUAACUUUAAUUUUUAAAAAUGAAAAUAUAAUUUAAAUUAUUUAAUUUAUCUAUAGACUAAUAGUAUUAGAAUAUUUAUGAUAUAAGCAGAUAAUUUAUAUUUUUGCAUAUUUAUUUUAAUAUUAUGUUUCUAUUUAUUAAAAAAUUUAGUUUAAUAUAAUGUAAUAUUGUAAAGUAUUAAAAUAUUUUAUUAAAUAUUGAAGUUAUUUUUUUUAUAUACUGAUAUAUUAUAAUUAAAGCUCUACUAAUAUUUACAAUUAGAAAUCAAUCGGGACUCUCUUUAAUAAUUCUAUUAUGGCAGAGUCCGAAGGUCAACCCUCACUUAAUAUUGGACGGAGAUUUAUUCUUUCCCAAAAUUGGAGAGACAAGUAAACUCCUACUAGAAGGGAAGUUGAGUCCUAAUCAUUACUGGAACUCAAACCCAAGCGCUCAAGAAUGGUUGAUAAUGGGUUACGAACCCAUUUGCUAAAUAUCGAAGUUAUUUAAAAUGUAUAUAUUGUUACAUCUAUUUUACUAUUAUAUUUCUAAUUAUUAUAAAACAUUAGAGUUAAAUUUUUUGAGUUACUAGACCAAAAGUUAUUAUAACCAAAAGAGGAUUUUAGUAUCCCUUGUUAAAAUUUUAGGACUCUUCAUAACAAUUUUACCAAAUCAUACGGUGUGGGUCAUUUUUACCAUUAAAUAUUAUUAACAGCUUCAGUCCAAAAAUCAAGUAACAUUUUUAUUUUGGGCACGUGGCUCCUCGCGGUUUGUUGUCGAAUAAAAUUAUAACCGAUUGUGCGGUCAAAGCAAACAAAUAAAUAAGAUUUUUUUUGCCCCCUUUAUGAUUAGACAAACGGUCGUUCUAGUCUAAUAAAUUAUAAACAUUUGUAUUGUAAUGAAUUAUCAAGGAAUGAUGAAUUAUGUUUUCGCAUAAUUCAAAGUUAAGGCGAGUGGCUAAAUAGCACCUCAAACAAAGGUCUCCAAAUGAUUUUAUUCAGUAUUUUUUGAAUGUUUAAAAAAUUUAAUAUAAACAAUUUUCUGUUCACAUGUGUCAUAUGAGGUCUAGUUGACUUAAAGUUUCACUAAUAUUUGUUUUAUAUCUUUUUUACUUUGUUGUACUUUUAGAAGGUAGGGAAAGGGGAUUAAAGUUUAAAAAUAAUAUUUUACCCCGCCUAAGAUUCGAACUCAAGUGGUUAUCUAAAUAAAAUUGUUUGAAAAUUAUUUGACUAGACUCCUUGGAAAUCAUUUGUUAAAUUUUAUAGUUAAAAUAUUGGAAUAAUGAAUAUUACUUAAAUCAGCAUAAUGAUGAAGAAGCAUUAUUUCGUUAAUUUUACUCCUUUGUUUUAAGAUUCAAUCUUCUGUCAAAAUCGUUCCUUUUCUAGAAAAACUUGUAGUUUUAGUUAUAGUAAUUGAUUUUUAUUUCUUAAUGAAUGACAAUAUAUGCAAGUGUGCUUCUCUACUUAUCCCCCUUCGGAAUAGUUUGAGAUUGUAGUCUCUAAAUCUAUUUUUGUCGCGGUGAUGAAAGAAUAAGUCAGAGAAAAAAUUACUAAGUAUUUCGUAAAUAAUGCUAUUCAACUAGAAUGUUACAUGAAUUUCAAAGGUAGUUGUUUGGGAAAUAAAAUAAGGUUAUCAUGAUCUUCUCGAGAUAAAAAAUAAACAAAUGGUUGAUAGGCUACUAGGAGAAAAUUUUGGUGACCUUGAGCAGACCAUCUCAACCAAGUGGUAAUUUUGAUGACCAGGUGCAGACCACCUUGACCAAGUGGUAAUCUUGAUGACUAUGAGUAGAACACCUCGACCAGGUGGUAAUCCUUGAGUCUAUGAGCACCAGGUGGUAAUGUUUUAGGCUAUGAGCAGAUACCUCAACCAGAAUACCAUGAGCAGACUAGAACCAGGUCGAUUGUUCCAAAAACCUCAACCAACCACAAACUGUCAAGCUCCUCCCAGAAAUUCAACUAUAACGUCUACGCACACCCAGCUGCUAUAAUUGCAGCUUAAUAACUACUCUGUAACGGGCGCAUUAACUCAUAAUUAAAGGGGCACAUUAUACCCAACAACGGCAACGCAUUGAAGAUGGUAUGAUAAUCCCGAAUACUUAUAAAAGUGCUGAAAAGUUUAGAGAAUGGUGGACUCUCCUAAACAAUUUUGAUUCGUUUAUUAUAUUUAUAUGAAUUAUUUCUUUAUUAAAAAAUAUCAGAAUUCAUUUAUUUAUUUUAUUUUUUUUUUCUCAAAAAGGUCCAAUUACUGACUUAAGCGUCAGAGGGUUCACGCCGGAAAAACUUCCAGCACCUCUUACCGUUCUUUGUGAUUUCAGGUGUUUGCGAGUUAUCUGCUAGUGAUUGUAAGCCACUUCCCCAACAAAUAAAUUUAAUACUGGUGCAGAUGUCUGUGUUAAGUCGCUAACCGACUCAAUUGGAUUUUGGCAUCAACAGUAGUUUUCAAAAGUGUGGUGAGUUAUAAGUGUAGUUUAUUACAUUUGGUAAUUUUUUUUGUUAACAUGUUGUAAUAAUUAUGACUAAACUGAGCAUAAUAAUGAGGAAAUAUCGUUUUCAAAUAGAUGACUCUGUUAUAUAACCUCUGAAAAUUACUACUGACCAUUCUAAUAGCAUUCCCAAGUUGGCCUUUCAAUCAUAGGAAAUUAUUAAAAUAGACUGCAUGGUUUAACUAAAAUCAGUGGAUUAGAUUUUGUUUAUUUAUUAUUUAUCAUCAUCAUAAUCAUUUUAAAACUUUAGACAAGUUGACAGGGUUAUAGUUCAUUUUAUGCAUACUUGUCAAUGUCGCUGCGGCGCUGAUGUUUGUUUAGGGCUUUCUAUCUUCAAUAUGGUGGAACGUUGAACCAUGCAGAGCUAUGGAAUGCCUCUCUUUAUUUUGCUAUGUAUUUUCAACUGUCAUGAAACUGAAGAUUAACUGUAAUAUAUGUGAUAAAGCAAAAUAUGUAUAAGCCACAUAUAAAAUCAACAACCUCAAAUCAAAUUACGAAACAUAAAAUGUAAUAUAUUAAACUCCAUAUGAUACAUAAAAAUGAUCAUAGCAGUACUCCUACGGAGCCACGCUCAUCACGAGUCGUAUCCUAAAGUUAAAAAUAAUAAUAAUAAAAAAUCCUCCAAUGGGAAAAACACAGAUAGUAUCAAAACAAGAACCCACGAAUAUAAUUUAUUAAUAUACUUCUACAGACAACCAGAUGAAGCUCCUGAAAGCAUUUGAUGACGAUAAAAUUUAAGGAUUGGUGGUUGAGUGCACUACUACAAAAAUGAGUUUUACUAACACCAACUUAGUGUCAGUAAUCACUUUUACUGACACUUAUUAAUUGUGUCAAUAAUGCUCAAGCCAGAACGCACUGAUACUAAUUUUUAAUGUCAGUGAUUUUGGUGUCAGUAAUUCGUGUCAUUAUAGUAUCACAAAAAUAAUGACACUAUAGUAUUAAUAUUUGAUAAUAUUAUUUUACAUGUCAAUAAUUCGUGUCACUAUAGUAUCGCCAAAACAGUAACACUAUAGUGUUACUAUUUAAUGAUACAAUUUACAUGUCAAUUUCAUUUUUUCCUCAUCUGCAAGUACAUAAAAUCAAUUAGUACACCAAAAUAUCAAUUAUUAUAAUUAUAGCUCCAAUAAUAAAUUCAUAAUUCUGGAAAAAUCACUUACAGCUCCUGUAAUCAACAAGUCCUAUAAAUCAAUGGAUUCCUAUAAAGUGAAAUAAUUUUUCCAGUACACUUAUAUUUAACAAUAUUAACCAUAGCUAUAAAAACUACUAGAGGCCAUGAAUAGUCAACACAAAAUAUAUUGGACUCAACAAUUAUAUUUCUAAAAACUAAAAUGGAUUAUAUACAUAUACAACCAAUAUUGAAAUAAAAUAUUAGAAACUGCAUCAUUACUCUUCCAAUUUAAUAGUCUAGCGACCAAACGCUAAUUAUUUCGAACGCUUUCACAUUGUCAAUGUAGUGGUAAUUUAAGCUUAUUUUAAUAUUUUAAGUAAGGUCUGUUUAUCUAAUUCAAUGGAUUUGGUCGUCUAUGGCAUGCCAAGACUAAAUUAUUAAUCAUGAAUUCAGUUUGAUAAGUAUCACAAUUUCAUAGAACUACUCUAGCAAAUAUUUUAUUCAAAUUUAUGCAAGAAAUAAAUAUAAUACAUGUAAACUCAGUAUUUUGUUCUUAUAUGAAAAACUUAUAAAUUAAUAAUAACGUAUGUAUUAAUUUGCAAACAUUCCACUCACAAUUAAUCUUGAUCAAUCCUAAAUCGCUGGAAUGUCUUCUAAUUGAUCAGCAACUGAUAGUCCUCCUAUAAAUUAGAGAAAUAUUUAUAAGAAACUGUGCAAUCUUUAAAAAAAAAAAAGGUAAAUUCAAAACUGUAUAUAAAGACAAUCCAUAUUUAUUAACUCUCUAUAUCAAAUUAAUAUGUAUCUAUCAUCUGCAUGUUUUUAGGGAUUCUUUCCAUAUUUUACAACUUUAGCUUAAAGAUAAUUAAACAAAGAUGAAUUUAUAGUUUCAUCCACUAUUUUGUCAAUCCCUCUUUUAAAUAAAUAAAUAAAGUAUAUAAAGUAAGCUAAAGUAAUAGCCAAGAUUAAAGUCAAUGAGGAAAUUCUUUCAAGCUUUAUAAAUAAAUAAAUAUACUAUAUUGUAAUCCAGCUUUAAAAUUAGGCAUGCACGACACCAGCAAUUGGUGCACCAUAUUACGUAAUAAAUAAAUAAAAUUAAAUUUAAACAGGACAUUGGCAGUUCUAGAAAGUAGCCAUAUGCUUUAGCAUGGUAGGGGCUUUGCUAAAUUUUAAGAUGCAUAUUUCUUUCAAUUAUGUUUCCCUCAUUGCAAAUUGUCUCUAGAAAUAUAAUCUGUCACAAGAAUUAAAGAUAUAUGACAAGUGCUUUCUAGAACAUCCUGUGAAAAGUAUUAUAAUAAAAAUAUAAUAAAAAUUAGUAGAAACACUUGAAAAUUAAGAAAAAUUAUUAGAAGCCUCUUAUCCUUUUCAUACCAUCCAGGCUUCCAAUUUAGAGAUUCCCACAUAUAGACUGGCCAUUACUCUGCCUUUUUUGUUCUCACAUGAAUCACUUCUCUUGACUUCUCCACCACUCUAUCAUCAUUUCUCUUUCUUUUUUCUCCAUUCAAUCCUUGCAUACCAACUCCCAAAAUCAGCACAAAAACUUAAUAAUUUUAUUAUGAUUUUUACAUUUGCACAAAAUAAAUGAUUCAACAUGAAAAAGAUAGAAAUAAAUAACUAAAUAAAAGAAAGACCAAUUAACCUUAUUAUUUUCACUUAACAACCCAAUUUCGGAAGCCUGAGGUGGAGACAAAUUCAUAAAACUUUCAACAGUAAGCCUCACUGCCUUCUUUCUACUUCUGUUAUCAUGGCUAAUAUUUAUUUUUAUAUGAACAUAAUAUAUAUAGAAAACAACCACAUACAUGCUUAAUACAUAGUAGCCUACCCAUGUAAAGGCCAGUAAGAAAACACAUACAAUAUUAUAAAGAGCCAGAUAGUUACAAGAUGAUAUUAAAAAUUUGAUGUAUAGUGGAAAUAAGAGCUUGUUAAGAAACAAUGCAAACUCCUUGACAGUAUGACAACAUUUAUUGAUCCUAAUAAUCAGCUUUCCAGGAAUUCAACUAUCAGACCUUACAUUCCUAAGUUUUUUUCUGAUCUUAUUUCAACACAAAUUCUAGCAAAUUUGUACAUGCAUUCAUGCGCAAUAACACUUGUCAAAUCAAAUUUAAACAUCCUACUAAGAAGUAAAACAUGCAUUUGUGUGGUCAAGGACUUUAACCAUUCUCUGUUAAAAAAAUCAAUGAAACUCUUAGUCUCUUUAGUUUGAUUAAAAAUUAAACAAAUGAAGAUUAGUUCCUAGUAGAGGUUCUGUACUGCUAUUGUGAAGCAGAGGAAAGAGAAACGUUUGAUAGAAAAUACUGGGAGAGUGAGUGGGGGAAGGAAUUGGGCUGUCAGUAGAAAGAGCCCUGUGAGGAUGAUGCUUAUGAACAUCAAGAAGUUGCAGCCCCACUAAUCUUCUACUUUGAAGCUCGAGGACUUGUUGCAAAUAAGCUUGCUCCUCUAUUUUUCCCCUUCACAACAUGUUCUGAGUAUUAUUAUUGAACAUUCUUGCGUUACAAAGACCAACAAAAGCCAGAAAUUAAAGAAAAUUCAAUUUGGUAUUGGAAUGAAAUGAAUGAAAAUGAGUUUUUUUUUUCUUUUGGUUUCUUAAUUCUUACCAAGUGGAAGGUCAGAAGGCUCUCUUGAAUCAAGCCUAGUUAGGGUUUCACAAGGAGAAAACUCCCCUUUUUCAAUUUGUUGCUAUUGCUUCAUGUAAAUAAAUAUCAAAGUAUCUUCUUUUUAUUUUUUAAAAUAAAAAAUAAAACAAAGUUACCAGAAUCAAGCAUUGCAGCAGCCACAACUCUUUGAGUAGGUUCAGCUAUCAAUUGGACUUCGCCAUUGGAGUUGCGAAGUAGGACUAUGCUGCCAUCUACAGAGAACUGCAGAGCAGCAUCGAAUGAGACCACGAGUCUUCGCAUCAAGCAAUCCAUACAAUUGUUUUAUUUGCUAGGUUGCUGCUGUCAAUGAGCCAUAUUCCAACCUUGAAGCCAUUGCCACUGGUGUAAAAUCCGAAAGCAAAAUGGCCAAAAGGAGAAGGCCAAAAAUUUGGAGAUGAGUUUGUGUAAAGGGUGGAAAUAAAAAAGAAACUCAAAAAUUUUGAAUAACCAGAAAUGAAAUUCAAAGGAAAAAUGAAAAGUACAAAGAUUGAAGAGAGCAAAGUGCCUGUACUAGUAUGAAACUUUUCUCUCAGCAGUUUCAGUGCCUAUAAUGCCACUUACCCAUGCCUAAAAGAAGAUUGAAUUACACCUUUUACCUUGUACGGUUGACGACAGCAAAUGAAGCUGGAAGGAGAACGAAACCAGAGGCAGCAAACAAAGCAAAUGGAGAACGGCUAGAAGCUGCAACGUCGGUACGUUGGAACGGAAGUGAUAGCAGCGGCGGGGAGGGCGUGGGCGUUUCGUAGCAGCGACAACAUGGUCAUUCUCCGUCUUUCACGAUAGAGAAGAAGAAGUCAAGCAAGGGAAGGGAAAUUAGGCAGCUGCGAGGCCAAGGCGGAUGUACGGUACAGCAGUUGAAGAACAAGCCCAAAUUCUCUAUCCUAUCAAAUAAAAUUCUAACGCGAAAUAAAGAAAAAUGAUAGGUAAAAAUUAGUGCUCUAAAAGUGAGUGGAGAAUUGAUUCUUCUUCCCUUACUUUAUAAAGAGAUGGUGCUAAUAAUAAUAUACUUAAACAAAGUUGUAGUAGGGAAUAAACACAGCAUGCUAAAGCCUAAUAAUAACUAAUAAUGGGAAGGGAUGCAGCCUGCCGUAGCAUGAAAUUGAAAUCAGCCUACUGCUGUACCGUACAUCCGCCUUGGCCGUACAGCAGAGUUGCUAAAAGCUGCUGUCAAUGAGCCAUAUUCCAACCUUGAAGCCAUUGCCACUGGUGUAAAAUCCGAAAGCAAAAUGGCCAAAAGGAGAAGGCCAAAAAUUUGGAGAUGAGUUUGUGUAAAGGGUGGAAAUAAAAAAGAAACUCAAAAAUUUUGAAUAACCAGAAAUGAAAUUCAAAGGAAAAAUGAAAAGUACAAAGAUUGAAGAGAGCAAAGUGCCUGUACUAGUAUGAAACUUUUCUCUCAGCAGUUUCAGUGCCUAUAAUGCCACUUACCCAUGCCUAAAAGAAGAUUGAAUUACACCUUUUACCUUGUACGGUUGACGACAGCAAAUGAAGCUGGAAGGAGAACGAAACCAGAGGCAGCAAACAAAGUAAAUGGAGAACGGCUAGAAGCUGCAGCGUCGGUACGUUGGAACGGAAGUGAUAGCGGCAACGGGGAGGGCGUGGGCGUUUCGUAGCAGCGACAACAUGGUCAUUCUCCGUCUUUCACGAUAGAGAAGAAGAAGUCAAGCAAGGGAAGGGAAAUUAGGCGGCUGCGGCGCGGGCUCUCUUGCACAAUAAAGAAGGGGAAUUAGGGUUUUGUUUUUUAUAUGUUAAGUUUUUAUAUAACAUUAUGUCUUUAACUUAAAUCUACAUGGUUAAGUGGUUUGUGGCUAUAUCUAGAACUUUUAGAGUUUUAGAAGUUCCAAGUUCGAGUUGAAAUCAAAACAAAUUAUAAUUAUUUUUUUUAAUCUCUGAUACAUUAGUAUCAGUGAUCUCUGAUAUUUAGUUUACUGACACACUAAUAUCAAUAAUUUGUGACACCUAUUUGUUAAAAGCGGAAAAUGGUGCAUAGUUAAGUAAUUACUGACACUUUUUUUAAAGUGUCAGAAGCAAAGUGUCAGUGAAAGUCAUUUUUUUAGUAGUGGUGAGUUGGGAUCUCCUUUGGAAUAUUCGGGAUGGCGGGAAAUGUGGGCUUAAGAAGCUCAGGUAGAUGAGGGAAAGAAGGCAAUCCAUGCACCUUGGGCAAUUCAGGCACUUUGGGCAACUCAGGCUUUGGAAGUUCAGGUACUUCGGGCUCUUUUGGCAUCUCAGGCACUUUGGGCAACUCAGGCUUUGGAAGUUCAGGUACUCAAGCUCUUUUGGCACCUCAGGUUUCAAAAUAUCUGGCAAUUCAGGUUCUUUUGGCAACUCAGGCUUUGGAAUCUCAGGUAAUUCAGGUUUCUUCGGUAGUUCUGGCUUUGGAAUCUCUGGUAAUUCAGGUUUUUUAGGUAGCUCAGGCUUUGGAAUCUCAAGUAAUUGUUAGAGUGCAAUUUAUGCACUAGUUUUGCAUUGUUUACUUCCUUUAAUAUUGAUGUUUUGCACUUAAUAAUAGUGAUUUACUUGUGUUUUAUUUAUGUAGGUGCAAUUCUAUUGAUUGAUGCUAAAAUUUAGCUUCAGAAGAACUUUGUUGAUAAGGCGUGGGCGCGUGCUGUCAACUACGGACCUGCAGUUUUUAGUUUAAUGUGUUUUAUCUUUUUGGUUAUUUUUGUAAUUACGAAUUUAAUAUUUAGAUAAUAUUUUAGAUAUUAGUAUUUUAUUUUAAAAAGAACUCUAGACGAGAAGAGAGAGGAAAGAAUUUAAGAGAGGAAUCUAUUAGAAAAAAAGGGAGAUUUUUGAAGAAAAAGAAACCCUAAAUCUAAAAUUUUCUCUUCUCUCUAAGAAGAACUAAAUUUAUUAUUCUGGUUUGAUAAUGAAGCUUUGAUUCAUCACUACUGUAAGAUCUUUCUUAUGCUUUAAUUGUUUUAUUACUUUUUGGGUAUUUAUUUAUUCUCUGAAUUAUUAUCAUGAUUAUGUUUGUUAAUUAGAUAAUUGGCCACUAUUUAAUUAUCAACUUAAUAUAUUGUCAAUUAAAUGAUUCGUAUGAAACUAAUAUCAAUAAUUUGUGACACCUAUUUGUUAAAAGCGGAAAAUGGUGCAUAGUUAAGUAAUUACUGACACUUUUUUUAAAGUGUCAGAAGCAAAGUGUCAGUGAAAGUCAUUUUUUUAGUAGUGGUGAGUUGGGAUCUCCUUUGGAAUAUUCGGGAUGGCGGGAAAUGUGGGCUUAAGAAGCUCAGGUAGAUGAGGGAAAGAAGGCAAUCCAUGCACCUUGGGCAAUUCAGGCACUUUGGGCAACUCAGGCUUUGGAAGUUCAGGUACUUCGGGCUCUUUUGGCAUCUCAGGCACUUUGGGCAACUCAGGCUUUGGAAGUUCAGGUACUCAAGCUCUUUUGGCACCUCAGGUUUCAAAAUAUCUGGCAAUUCAGGUUCUUUUGGCAACUCAGGCUUUGGAAUCUCAGGUAAUUCAGGUUUCUUCGGUAGUUCUGGCUUUGGAAUCUCUGGUAAUUCAGGUUUUUUAGGUAGCUCAGGCUUUGGAAUCUCAAGUAAUUGUUAGAGUGCAAUUUAUGCACUAGUUUUGCAUUGUUUACUUCCUUUAAUAUUGAUGUUUUGCACUUAAUAAUAGUGAUUUACUUGUGUUUUAUUUAUGUAGGUGCAAUUCUAUUGAUUGAUGCUAAAAUUUAGCUUCAGAAGAACUUUGUUGAUAAGGCGUGGGCGCGUGCUGUCAACUACGGACCUGCAGUUUUUAGUUUAAUGUGUUUUAUCUUUUUGGUUAUUUUUGUAAUUACGAAUUUAAUAUUUAGAUAAUAUUUUAGAUAUUAGUAUUUUAUUUUAAAAAGAACUCUAGACGAGAAGAGAGAGGAAAGAAUUUAAGAGAGGAAUCUAUUAGAAAAAAAGGGAGAUUUUUGAAGAAAAAGAAACCCUAAAUCUAAAAUUUUCUCUUCUCUCUAAGAAGAACUAAAUUUAUUAUUCUGGUUUAAGGUUAAUGAAGCUUUGAUUCAUCACUAUUGUGAGAUCUUUCUUAUGCUUUAAUUGUUUUAUUACUUUUUGGGUAUUUAUUUAUUCUCUGAAUUAUUAUCAUGAUUAUGUUUGUUAAUUAGAUAAUUGGCCACUAUUUAAUUAUCAACUUAAUAUAUUGUCAAUUAAAUGAUUCGUAUGAAAACUUUAAUGUUUGUGACAAAUAGCAUAGCAGUGCGUUGUGUUAUGAGAAUAAACAAUCUAAUUUAAAUGAACCAUCGUAUGCGUUUGUUGAUUAGGAUUUGGGUCUCUCUGGUUUUUCAGGCUGUCAAUUGAUUAAAUCCUAUGAUCGUAUCUAGGGUUGCACUACUAGAAAAAUGGUCUUUACUGACUUUAGAAUAGUGUCAGAAAUUACUUUUACUGACACUUAUUAAUUGUGUCAGUAAUCUGGGAGUCAGAAAAAUAGUGACACUUGUAAGUGGUGUCAGUGAUUACUAUUACUAUAGUAUCACUAAAAUAAUAACACCAUGGUAUCAAAAUAUUACAAUACUAUAUUAGUAUUUGUGAUUACUGUUACUAUAGUAUCACUACUUUAUUUAUUAUUUAAAAAAAUAAUUAUAUAAAAUGACAUGUUGCCCAUUGAUUUGUUGAUAGAAUUAAAAGGCUGUGAAAAAUAAGAACAAAAAUCAAUUUAUAUAUCAAAACCUUUCAUAACAUUUAAAUAUUAUCAAUAUAUAUUACACAAUCCAAAUACUUCAAUACACAAAGACGUCUGAUUACAAGACAAGUUAUUCUUAUAAUUGAAUAAUCUUAACUGCUAUUAUCCAAUCAAUUUGAUAAUGAUACUUCUCUAGAAAAUAUCUUCAUAGUAUAUGACUAAUUACCGAAUUCUGUCCACGGGAUAAGGCAUCUUGAGCAAUGAGCCAUAUCAAAUGAAUUUGAGGGGAAAGGUAGGCGCUGUGUGGAAAUGAUGCCAAGAAUUGCGGGAAUUCCACGUUCCAAUGCAAAUUGAACUUGAGCUUCAUGAUUAUCUCUUGGUGCAAGAGAAACCGUUAAAAUUCCACGAUCUAAUAAAUCACCUCCCCAGCUAGCAACCUAUAUAAAAAAAUGUAAGUGAGUUAAAUUUAUCCUAAGAUGACCAAGAGGCACCAUAAGAAUAAACCAUCAAUGCAACAUAGAUUAGCCCAGUAUAUGAUUAGAUGAAAAAGUGGGCAAAUGGAAAACAAAACUCACCCCACAUCCAGUGUCAAUAGCAGUUCGAACUGUCCCAUCUUUCAUUUCUGGAAUCAGAUCUCGCAUCAAAUCAACAUAUGCACCAACUCCUUUGGGAAACAUUGUACCUCCACCAGGAAAGAGGAACUUCUCUCCUUGUUUUCUCAGCCAAUUCUGAUUUGACUUCUGCUUGUUAAUCCAAUCAUAAGGCACAUUCCUGAAACUAGAUCCAAAUAAUAGAACAAAAUUGACUUACGGCCAACAUCAGUGGACAAUAAAACCAGUUCAUUAAUAGAUCAUAAUACCUGUACCAACAUUCAUCCCUGCUUUUUGGCCACUUGAUAGGUGGCUUAUACCCAUUAGGAGGGGGUAUUAAGCAUUCCUUCCUCUCAAAAACUGGAGGACAGUGGCGUUCCAUGAAAGUCAGCCGAUGAGCACCGUACUUUUUCCACCUCUGUAGCAAUGAAUGUUUGCCAUCAAUAUGGCCACUUGAUAUCAUAUAGCUUUGUAACAUUGCCUAGAAGCUGUUACUAUUAUCAAAUAAGCAUUUAAGGUAUACCUUUGGAUCUGUGCAUGGAGUGUAGUCUUGAUAGUUGCUGCUGCAUUCAGGGAAGUUAACAGAUUUGAUCUGAAGCGGAGCAACCACUGGAUCCUUGGGAGACAGGACUGCUUUCUGGACAUCCCUAAUCUCGACUCUAUUUUUCUCAGAACAAAAGAUUCCACCAAGGUAAAACGAAAACCCACGUAGUGCAACAAACAAUACUGUCAAAGGAACAAUCCUGGGACUUUUAUCACCAUUUGGAGAAAUCGGUUUCUUAUCUUUAUGCUUCAUUUUUUCAGAAACAAUUAAUUACCUGCAUUGAUAAUAGUAAAAAAAAAUUUAGUCACAGCUAAGUGAGAUUAAAUUUUUAGCUCAAUGAACAAACACGUAAAGAAACAUCUCCAAGAUCCCAACUAUGGAAAUAAAUACAUUCCAUGCUCCAGUUUCGAUUCCUCCAUUGUCUAAGAUAUUAAACUAAGCAUCAUAAAGCAGAAUNNNNNNNNNNNNNNNNNNNNNNNNNNNNNNNNNNNNNNNNNNNNNNNNNNNNNNNNNNNNNNNNNNNNNNNNNNNNNNNNNNNNNNNNNNNNNNNNNNNNNNNNNNNNNNNNNNNNNNNNNNNNNNNNNNNNNNNNNNNNNNNNNNNNNNNNNNNNNNNNNNNNNNNNNNNNNNNNNNNNNNNNNNNNNNNNNNNNNNNNNNNNNNNNNNNNNNNNNNNNNNNNNNNNNNNNNNNNNNNNNNNNNNNNNNNNNNNNNNNNNNNNNNNNNNNNNNNNNNNNNNNNNNNNNNNNNNNNNNNNNNNNNNNNNNNNNNNNNNNNNNNNNNNNNNNNNNNNNNNNNNNNNNNNNNNNNNNNNNNNNNNNNNNNNNNNNNNNNNNNNNNNNNNNNNNNNNNNNNNNNNNNNNNNNNNNNNNNNNNNNNNNNNNNNNNNNNNNNNNNNNNNNNNNNNNNNNNNNNNNNNNNNNNNNNNNNNNNNNNNNNNNNNNNNNNNNNNNNNNNNNNNNNNNNNNNNNNNNNNNNNNNNNNNNNNNNNNNNNNNNNNNNNNNNNNNNNNNNNNNNNNNNNNNNNNNNNNNNNNNNNNNNNNNNNNNNNNNNNNNNNNNNNNNNNNNNNNNNNNGACGGCUGAGGUAGAUCAUUGUUAUAGAGAGAGAGAGAGAGAGAGAGAGAGAGAGAAGGAAGGAAGAGAGCUUCAGUUCAUAGCAAGAAGCGGCCGUGGGGAAUUUUUUUUCACUUCUUAAAAAUUUUAGAUUUUAGGUUUUCAUGUACACCUUCCAUUAAAACGACAUAGUAUCUAGGUAAUUUAAUUUAAUUUUUAAUAUUAUUUACUUAUUAAGCCAAAAAUCAAAAUCCAACUCAUGGCCCAGUGGUUAAUGUUUAAAAUUAAAAAGUUAAAGUUUAGAGGUCUUUAGUUCGAUUCCUAAUGGACACAAAAUUAAAAUUUUAUUUUUCUAAUUACUAAUACCUUAUUGUCACAUAUCUCUGAUAUUUAAUUUACAGACACUAUAGUAUCACAAAUUUGUGAUAUUUAUUUGUCAAACACGGAAAAUGCCCGAAAUGCAUGUAAUUACUGAUACUUUUUAAUAAAGUAUCACAAGACAAGUGUCAGUAAAGGUUAUUUUUCUAGUAGUGUUGUCUAUUGCUUAGGAAAAUAACCAACGGUCGUACCUUGGUUAUCGACUAGUUAAGGAGAGAUUGACUAUUAGAGGGUCUCAGUAGCUAUAACCGGUCUAUUCAUAAGUAGUAAUAAUUUAUAUUUGAAUCAAGGAUCAGUAGUCAAAUCAAGCUGAGUUAAUUCCUUCAACCAGAGCUUUCCCCAAUUUGAAUUACAAUUUGAAUUUGUGAUCUUGUUAUUUUAAUUUGAUUUUUAUUAUUGUCAACAAUUCCCCCAUUUUGCAUUUUAUAUUUUAAAAGGAUUUAAAUAAUUACCGAUCUCUGUGGACACGACCCUACUCAAUCACUAUACACAAUUUAUUUAGAGUAAGUAUUUAUUUUUGUUGGUUUCAACAACCAUCAAUAAUUCAGGCUUUGGAAUUUGUGGUAGUUCAGGUUUUGGUAACAGGCUUGGGUAUUUCUGGAACUGUUGCCUCUAGAAGAUGGCGAGCAGCGAUCAAAUCAAUGUUAAAGCUCAUUGACGAUAAAGCGAUUAACAAAAGUGGUAGCACAACGGAUGAGAAAGAGAAGGAUGCCAUGGUUGAACUAUUGCCGAAUAAGGCUAUAAGAGAUGAAACAUAUAUUGUGUUGCGGUAAUAACAAUCAAAAGAGAAGGGAUCAAAUGUGUUUAUGCAUUGAUUUCAUGUGUUAUGAGGCUUUUAUAGGUGUGGCGAAGCGUAGAAUAGAGGGUUUCAAGAUUGGGUAGGUAUGACUAAAAUAGUAAAAUAUAAAUAAAUUAAGCUUGGGUUGGUACUUGGUAAGAAAUUUAUGUCUUGUUAGUUCAUCAACCUCUCACUUCUGCUAAUUCCACGUACGUCAUAACGAUUAUAUAUCAUUGUAUAAUAUGUUAUAUAAGCAAUUAUAUUGCAAUUAAUUGUUAUAUUAAGGGAUUAUUCAUUAUCUUUUCAUAUAUGCCCUGUGAAAAAAAAGAAGGUAAAUGGUUAAAAUAAUAACCUCUGAAUGAUUAUUUAUUCAAUACUUUUCUGCAAAUUAUUUAAGAUUAUUGAAGCUAGUUCCUAUGGUAAGGAACGGCCUUUCUAAGGCUCAAACCUUGAGUUCGAAUUUUAAUGUAUGCCUGAGUUAAUAAUAAAAAAAAAUUAACAUUAUUUUAUAACUUUGGGGUCAUAUAUGUCAUAAAACACCUAAUGACAUAAGCUUCCCUUCUCGAAAACAAACUAAUACGUAAUUGAAUUUCAUUUCCUAAUGGAUGUUAACAGCGACAUGCCGUUUCUCUUAUUCCCAUCUUUUCCACUUCAAUUAAUUUAUCAGAUUGUCUUCUUCUUGUAUUUGAGUGCCUGAUUAACUAGUUGUUGUGGUUGGAAGCAUAUGUUAUCCAUUAUGCAUUGAAUAUUUUCAAACGUUGUGGUUGGUCAAAUGUGUUUCAUCAAUAUUAAUCAUAAACAAGUCAAAAGGAUAUUUACGUACGAAUUCUUUUGUUUAGUUAUGUGAUAUUGUGUUAAAAAAAUGGAGAUCAACGUCGUGUCAUUUGAUGAUAUUUUAUAUAAGAUCUCAGUUUGUUGGCCACAAUUUUGAAUGAAGCUUGACCAAAUGACAUCCUUUAGUAUAUAGCUAAACUGCAAUCAACUGUACAAUUAAAUAUUAGGACUUGGGACACCGUCUUUUCGCCAAUAAUCUUAACGAAUUAUGUAAAAGUCAAUUAUCAAUUUAUAUUUACUCAGGUAAAAGUGUUGAACAUGUGCAUGUAUGUGGCAAACAAUUGCAUGUGGUUAGCAUGCAACUUUUGACUUUUCUCAUAAAAUUGUUGAGUAAGAGGGAGACAUGAGUAAGUGAGAGGAAUAUAACUUUUGACUUUGGCACCAAAGUAGAAGGUUGAGAGAAAUUUUAUAUUAUUUUAAUGCCCACAUUUUUAGGCAUUGCUUGGCCUAUAAAUAGAGGCAUCAUUUGCCCUCUUGAAUUAUCUCAUUUUCUCUAGUUCGAGUGAGAGUGCCAAGAGGUAUAAGUUGAGAGUGUUGAGAACUUUGUGCUCUAGUUCUAGUGUUUUUGAGAGUUUGGGUGUACGAGGGUUUUGGGUUGUGAGACAAAAAUACUAUCAUACUUGUAACUCCUUUUCACUAGUAAAAUAUUUCCUUCUAUCUUCGCAUGUGGAUGUAGGCUAAAAGCCGAACUACGUAAAUUCUGGUGUUCCUGUAUGAUCAUUAUUUUUUUAAUUUUACUUUAGUUACGUGUCUGCUUCACCUGUUGAAUUUUCCCAACAAGUUGUAUCAGAGCCAUUGGUUGCAUUUUUUUGCAGUCAGAUUUCACGUAUGCAAUAUUAUUCACGUAUACGGCACUAUUCACACGAAACGAUGAGAGCAAUCUAAGAAUUCUACGGUGCAAGGCAGGGAAUAGUGAUGUGAGUGAAAGUAAUUGUGUGGUCUUGUACAUAUCUAGGAAAGUUCUGUCAUAACGGCAAUACGAGUUUAAGGAGUUUGGAUUUUAAGUGGGAUCGUUGUGACCCCUCUAGUCUUUCCUAGGAACUUUCCUGAUGUGCAUUUUCACAUGUGUGAUUACUCAUAACUAUUCAAGGAGGUACACGAACUUGUGUGCGGUAUUACCAAAAUGACAACAAAGUUUGAAAUUAAAAAGUUCAACGGGAGCAAUUUCUCGUUAUGGAAAAUGAAGAUGCGGGCAAUCUUGAGGAAAAACAAUUGCUUAAAAGCAAGUAUUUUAAGGCCUGAAAAAAUCACUGGUGACAAGUGGAAUGAAUGGACAACAAUGCAAUUGUUGAUUUACACCUGGCACUCAGAUGGGGUGUUAUCUAGUGUAGCAGAACAAUUAUUUUAAGGCCUGAAAAAAUCACUGGUGACAAGUGGAAUGAAUGGACAACAAUGCAAUUGUUGAUUUACACCUGGCACUCAGAUGGGGUGUUAUCUAGUGUAGCAAAGGAAAAGACAAUGAAAGGUAUUUGUGAUACUUUUACAAAAUUGUACGAGAUUAAGUCGCUACACAACAAAAUCUUCUUAAAGAGAAGACUCUAUACUCUUCGAAAGGGGGAAACCACAAUGGCGACCGAUCAUAUCAACACUCUUAAAACUCUAUUUUCACAACUUACGAUGUUUGGCAUAAAAUAAAAGAAAUUGAACAUGCAGAGCUUCUACUUCAAAGUUUACCUGACUCGUAUAAUCAACUUGACGAACAAUAUCCUUACGGAGUACCUAGUCUUGAGGAAAAAUAAUUGCCUAAAAGCAAUUAGGGAAAGACCUGCAAAAAUCACUGGUGAGAAAUGGAAUGAAUUGACAACAAUGCAAUUGUUGAUCUACUCCUAGGACUCAGAUGGGGUGUUAUCUAGUGUGGUGGAGGAAAAAACAGUGAAGGGUAUUUGGGAUACUCUAACAAAACUGUACGAGACCAAGUUACUACACAACAAUAUCUUCUUGAAGAGGAGACUCUAUACUUUUCGAAUGGCGGAAACCACAACGAUGACCGACCAUAUCAACACUCUUAAAACUCUAUUUUCACAACUUACGACGUUGGGCAUAAAAUAAAGGAAAUUGAACGUGCAAAGCUUAUACUUCAAAGUUUACCUAACUCGUAUGAUCAACUCAUCAUCAACUUUACGAGCAAUAUCUUUACGGAGUGCUUAGUUUUUGAUGAUGCUGCAGCCUCUCCAUUUUAAUAAGAGAGUAGGUGCAAGAACUAUGACGACAGGUAAGCAAGUUCGCUGUAAGCAGAAGCACUAACGAUGGUGAAAGGGAGAUUAGCGGAACGUGGUCCUAGUAGGAGUCACAAUCAUUGUAGAUCAAAGUCAAGAAGUAAGAAGAAAAUCAGAUGCUACAAAUGUGCCAAAAUAGGACAUGUCAAGAAAGAGUAUUAGAGUUAACAGAAGAGAAGAGAGGGUAAAGAUCCUGAGUCAUCAAAUACUUAGGGGUGUGUAGUAAGUACCUCAGAUGAUGGUGACAUUUUAUACAACGAGGCAAUUAUGGUUGAAGAAAGCAGAAAAAAACUAUCUGACGUCUGGCUUAUAGACUCAAGAGCUACUGGCACAUGACCUCUCGAAGAGAAUAGUUCCACAAAUAUAAUCCUAUCUUAGGAGGAUCUGUAUGUAUGGGUGAUGAUCAUACCUUGGAGAUUGCUAGUGUUGGUUCUAUCAAAAUAAAAAUGUUUGAUGGUAUAGUUUGCACUAUUAAGGAGGUAUGUCAUAUCAAAGGCAUGAAAAAAAAAUCUAUUGUCUUUAGGACAAAUAGACAGUCUUGGUUGUAAAACUUAGGUGGAAAAUGGGAUCACGAAGAUUGUCGGAAGUACGUUUGUAUUGCUGAAGGCGGAAAGAUCAGUGCUAAUUUAUUCAUGCUUAAAGGGGAAACACUGCAAGAAGAUAAUGCUCGUGUUGCGUCAAAGAGAGAAUAAUUGGCGAUGAUGUAGCAUCUUAAACUUGGCUACAUGUCGAAACAAGGUUUGAAGAUUCUCUUUGGGCAGAAGUUGCUUUCAAGGCUUAAAUAGGUAAACUUAUCGCUUUGUGAGCAUUGUGUUACAAGUAGGCAACAUAGAUUAAAGUUCACCAGAUCUGACACCAUAACUAAAUGCAUUCUAGAUUUGGUUCAUUCUGAUGUUUGGGAAUUGCCGGAUAAGUCCUUGGGAGGUUCAAAGUACGUGGUGAUUUUCAUUGAUGAAUAGUCCAGGCGAUGUUAGGAGUAUCGAAUCAAGAAAAAGUCAGAUGCAUUUCCAGUGUUGAAAGAAUACAAAGCGCAAGUCGAACCAAAGUGGAAGUUGAGAGAAAUUUUAUAUUAUUAGCAUUGUUGAUUUUUGGGCAUUGCCUGACCUAUAAAUAGUGGCUUCAUUUACCCUCCAAUCAUGCCAUUUUCCCCAAUUCAAGUGAGAGUGCCAAGAGGCGCAAGUUGAGAGUGUUGAGAGCUUUGAGCUCUAGUUCUAUUGUUUUUUUAGAGUUUGGGUAUAUUGGGGUUUUGGGUUAUGAGACAAAACACUACAACACUUGUAACUCCUUUUCACUAGUAAAAUAUUUCUUUCUGCCCUUGCCCAUAGACGUAGGCUAAAAGUUUAACCACGUAAAUUUUGGUGUCCCUAUAUGAUCAUUAUUUUUCAAUUUCAUUUUAAUUGCGUGUCUACUUCACCCACACGAUUUUUCCCAACAAAAAGCUCAAAUCAGGAUAAUCAAAUGCACAUGUGUGUACUUAAAAAAAUCAGACACAAAAAUCACGUGUCAAGUGCUAGAACUUGAGCCUAAAAUAAUUAAUUUCAUUUUAUUAUUACUUUGUUUUUUAAUAUUAAUACUAGCUAGUUUUAUAUAAUUCACUUUUGCUCCUUUUUUCAUGUUCCUUGUUAGAAUUGAUCAAUUGAGUUACUAACUUCUGUCCUUAUCUGGUAUCAAUGUAAGCUCUUUCUAUAAUUUAUUCAUUUUUUUUGUAACUCUCUCUGUAAUUUAAUCAUUUUUUUUAUGGACCUUGUGUAAUGGGGAUAUUUCGUCUCAAAUGAGAAUAUUUAUUCUGCAAAAAACCAUUUACAAAAGUUGUCAAUGUAGUUCAGGAUGGAUUAGUUUCAUAUUAAACAUUAGUGACAGCUGUAGUCUAAAAGUCGCGUAAACAUUCCUAUUUUGGGCACGUAGCUCUUCACGGUUUGUUGUUGGACAAAAUCAUAACCGACUAUGUGGUCAAAGGGAGCAAAUAAAUCUGAUUUUUCUCCCCUUAAUGAUCAGAUAAAGGGUCGUCCUAGUUUAUUUUACUAAAAUAUCACUGUCGCUGCGGUGCUGAAGUUUGUUUAGGUGUUUCUAGCUUCGAAUGCUGAAACGUUCGGCAAUACACAAAACAAAAAGAUGUCUCUUUAAUUUAUUUUGCUGUACAUUUUAAACUCAUAAAAAAUUAAAUACCAAUUUAAUCGAUGUGACACAGCAAUCAUCAUCAUUUUAAACCUUAGACAAGGAGACAGUGCCCUAGUUCAUUUUACGUAUAUAUAUAUAUAUAUAUAUAUCAAUGCUGCUGCGAUGCUGAUGUUUGUUUAGUGAACGUAGAGCUUGAACCCUGCAGAGAUAUGAAAUGUCUCUUUUAUUUUGCUAUACGUUUUCGACUAAAGUCAAAAUGAAGAUAAAAUGUAAUAUAUGUCAUAGAGCACAUAAAAUCAGAAACCUCAAAUCAGACUGCUAAACCUAAAAGUACAAUAAAUAUCACUCAAUAGAUUAUGUAAAAAUGAAUACAACAGUACUCCUGUGGAGCCGAGCUCAUCGCGAGUCGUAUCCCAGACUUAAAAACAAUAACAAAAAACUCCUCAAGAGUGAAAACACACAAAUUUGGAAAGUCUCAAAACAAGAACCAACAAAUAUAAUUUAUUAGUAUACAUCCAGAUGAAGCUCGAGAAAGCAUUUGGAGAAGAUGAAAUUUAAGGAUUGGUGGUCGAGUGAGUUGGGAUCUCCUUGGGAAGACUCGGGAUGGCGGGAAAUGUGGGCUUAGGAAGCUCAGGUAGAUGAGGCAGAGAAGGCAAUUCGGGCUCUUUCGGCACCUCAGGCACUUUGGGCAACUCAGGCUUUGGAAGUUCAGGUACUUCGGGCUCUUUUGGCAGCUCAGGCACUUUGGGCAACUCAGGCUUCGGAUGUUCAGGUACUUCGGGCUCUUUUGGCACCUCAGGCACUUUGGGCAACUCAGGCUUCGGAUGUUCAGGUACUUCGGGCUCUUUUGGCACCUCAGGCACUUUGGGCAACUCAGGCUUCGGAUGUUCAGGUACUUCGGGCUCUUUUGGCACCUCAGGCACUUUGGGCAACUCAGGCUUCGGAUGUUCAGGUACUUCGGGCUCUUUUGGCACCUCAGGCACUUUGGGCAACUCAGGCUUCGGAUGUUCAGGUACUUCGGGCUCUUUUGGCACCUCAGGCACUUUGGGCAACUCAGGCUUCGGAUGUUCAGGUACUUCGGGCUCUUUUGGCACCUCAGGCACUUUGGGCAACUCAGGCUUCGGAUGUUCAGGUACUUCGGGCUCUUUUGGCACCUCAGGCACUUUGGGCAACUCAGGCUUCGGAUGUUCAGGUACUUCGGGCUCUUUUGGCACCUCAGGCACUUUGGGCAACUCAGGCUUCGGAUGUUCAGGUACUUCGGGCUCUUUUGGCACCUCAAGCACUUUGGGCAACUCAGGCUUUGGAAGUUCAGGUACUUCAGGCUCUUUUGGCACCUCAGGUUUCGGAAUCUCUGGCAAUUCAGGUUCUUUUGGCAACUCAGGCUUUGGAAUCUCUGGUAAUUCAGGUUUUCUAGGUAGCUCAGGCUUUGGAAUCUCAGGUAAUUCAGGCUUUGGAAUUUGUGGUAGUUCAGGUUUUGGUAACGGUGGCAAUUCAACCUUAGGCAAUUCAGGCUUGGGUAUUUCUGGAACUGUUGCCUCUAGAAGAUGGCGAGCAGCGAUCAAAUCAAUGUUAAAGCUCAUUGACGAUAAAGCGAUUAGCAAAAGUGGUAGCAUAACGGAUGAGAAAGAGAAGGAUGCCAUGGUUGAACUAUUGCCGAAUAAGGCUAUAAGAGAUGAAACAUAUAUUGUGUUGCGGUAAUAACAAUCAAAAGAGAAGGGAUCAAAUGUGUUUAUGCAUUGAUUUCAUGUUUUAUGAGGCUUUUAUAGGUGUGGCGAAGCGUAGAAUAGAGGGUUUCAAGAUUGGGUAGGUAUGACUAAAAUAGUAAAAUAUAAAUAAAUUAAGCUUGGGUUGGUACUUGGUAAGAAAUUUAUGUCUUGUUAGUUCAUCAACCUCUCACUUCUGCUAAUUCCACGUACGUCAUAACGAUUAUAUAUCAUUGUAUAAUAUGUUAUAUAAGCAAUUAUAUUGCAAUUAAUUGUUAUAUUAAGGGAUUAUUCAUUAUCUUUUCAUAUAUCCCCUGUGAAAAAAAAGAAGGUAAAUGGUUAAAAUAAUAACCUCUGAAUGAUUAUUUUAUUCAAUACUUUUCUGCAAAUUAUUUAAGAUUAUUGAAGCCAGUUCCUAUGGUAAGGAACGGCCUUUCUAAGGCUCAAACCUUGAGUUCGAAUUUUAAUGUAUGCCUGAGUUAAUAAUAAAAAAAAAUUAACAUUAUUUUAUAACUUUGUGGUCAUAUAUGUCAUAAAACACCUAAUGACAUAAGCUUCCCUUCUCGAAAACACACUAAUACGUAAUUGAAUUUCAUUUCCUAAUGGAUGUUAACAGCGACAUGCCGUUUCUCUUAUUCCCAUCUUUUCCUCUUCAAUUAAUUUAUCAGAUUGUCUUCUCCUUGUAUUUGAAUGCUACAAGAAAGAAGAUUGAACGCUCUAUGAUUGAGAUUUUAAGCCAGAUUAACUAUUUGUUGUGGUUGGAAGCACAUAUUAUCCAUUACGCAUUGGUUAUUUUCAAACGUUGUCGUGGUUGGUCAAAUGUGUCUUAUCAAUAUUAAUCAUGAACAAGUCAAAAGCAUAUUUACGUACGAAUCAACGUCGUGUCAUUUGAUCAUAUUUUAUGUAAGAUCUCCUGUUUGUUGGCCACAAUUUUGAUAUGUAGUACUUGGGGCACCAUCUUUUCGCCAAUAAUCUUAACGAAUUAUGUAAAAGUCAAUUACCAAUUUAUAUUUACUCAGGUAAAAGUGUUGAACAUAUGUAUGCAUGUGGCAAACAAUUGCAUGUGGCUAGCAUGCAACUUUUGACUCUCGUCAUAAAAUUAUUGAGUAAGUGGGAGACAUGAGUAAGUGAGAGUAAUAUAGCUUUUGACUCUGGCACCAAAGUAGAAGGUUCAGAGAAAAUUUACAUUAUUUUAAUGCCCACCAUCCUUGAUUUUUAGACAUUACCUGGCCUAUAAAUAAAGGCUUCAUUUGCCCUCUUGAAUCAUCUCAUUUUCUCUGGUGAGAGUGAGAGUGCCAAGAGGUGUAAGUUGAGAGUGUUGAGAGCUUUGUACUCUAGUUCUAGUGUUUUUCAGAGUUUUAGUGUACUGGAGUUUUGGGUUGUGAGACAAAAAUACUAUAAUACUUGUAACUCAUUUUUACUAGCAAAAUAUUUCCUUCUGUUUUCGCAUGUGGACGUAGGCUAAAAACUGAACUAUGUAAAUUCUGGUGUUGUUGUAUGAUAAUUAUUUUUCAAUUUCACUUUAGUUGUGUGUCUACUCACCCGCUGAAUUUUCCCAACAAGUGGUAUCAGAGCCAUUGGUUGCAAAUCUUUGGAGUCGGGUAUUGUUCACGUAUACGAUACUAUUCACAUAUACAAUACUAUUCACGUUUACGGCAUUAUUCACAUGAAACGAUGGGAGCGAUCCAAGAAUUCUGCGGUACAAAGUAGGGAAUAGUGAUGUGAGUGAAAGUAAUUGUGUGGUCUUGUACAUAUCUAGGAAAAUUCUGUCAUAAAGGCAAUAAGAGUUUAAGAAGUUUGGAUUUUAAGUGGGAUCAUUGUGACCCCUCCAGUCUCUCUUGGGAACUUUCGUAGUGUGCAUAUUCACACGUGUGAUCACUCAUAACUAUUCAAGGAGGUACACUAACUUGUGUGCGGUAUUAACAAAAUGACAGCAACGUUUGAAAUUAAGAAGUUCAACGGGAGCAAUUUCUCGUUAUGGAAAAUGAGGAUGCGGGCAAUCUUGAGGAAAAAUAAUUGCUUAAAAGUGAUUGGGGAAAGACCUGCAAAAAUCACUGGUAACAAGUGGAAUGAAUGGACAAUAAUGUAAUUGUUGAUCUACACCUGGCACUCAGAUGGGGUGUUAUCUAGUGUGGCAGAGGAAAAGACAGUGAAAGGUAUUUGGGAUACUCUCACAGAACUAUACGAGAUCAAGUCACUACACAACAAAAUCUUCUUGAAGAGGAGACUCUAUACUCUUCGAAUGGGGGAAACCACAACGGUGAUCGACCAUACCAACACUCUUAAAACUUUAUUUUCACAACUUAUGAUGUUUGGCAUAAAGUAGAGGAAAUUAAAUGUGCAGAGCUUCUACUUCAAAGUUUACCUGACUUAUAUAAUCAACUUGACGAACAAUAUCCUUACGGAGUACCUAGUCUUGAGGAAAAAUAAUUGCUUAAAAAUAAUUGGGGAAAGGCCUGCAAAAAUCACUGGUGACAAGUGGAAUGAAGUGACAGCAAUGCAAUUGUUGAUCUACACCUGGCACUCAGAUGGGGUGUUAUCUAGUGUGGCGGAGGAAAAGACAAUGAAAGGUAUUUGGGAUACUCUCACAAAAAUGUAUGAGGCCAAGUCACUACACAAUAAUAUCUUUUUGAAGAGGAGACUCUAUACUUUUCGAAUUGCGGAAACCAUAACGAUGAGCGACCAUAUCAACACUCUUAAAACUCUAUUUUCACAACUUACGACGUUGGGUAUAAAAUAGAAGAAAUUGAACGUGCAGAGCUUCUACUUUAAAGUUUACCUGACUCAUAUGAUCAACUCAUCAUCAACUUGAUGAACAAUAUCCUUAUGGAGUACUUAGUCUUCGAUGAUGUUACAGCCUCUGUAUUAGAAUAAGAGAGUAGGCGCAAAAACUAGGAAGACAGUUAAGCAAGUUCGCUGCAAGUGGAAGCGCAUGAUGAUGAGAGGGAGGUCAGUGAAACGUAGUCCUAGUAGGAGUCACAAUCAUGGUAGAUCAAAUUUAAGAAGUAAGAAGAAAAUCAGAUGCUACAAAUGUGGAAAAAUAUGGCAUGUCAAGAAAGAGUGUUGGAGUUACCAGUAGAAAGGAGAGGGUAAAGAUCCUAAGUCAUCAAAUACUUAGGGGUGUGUAGUAAGUACCUCAUAUGAUGAUGACGUUUUAUACAACGAGGCAGUUAUGGUUGCAGAAGGCAAAAAAAACUAUCUGACGUCUGGUUUAUAGACUCAAGAGCUACUGGCACAGGACCUCUUAGAGAGAAUAAUCCCACAAAUAUGAACCUAUCUUAGGAGAAUCGGUAUAUAUGGGUGAUAAUCAUACCUUGGAGAUUGCUAGUGUUGGUUCUAUCAAAAUAAAAAUAUUUGAUGGUAUAUUUGCACUAUUUAGGAGGUAUUGCAUGUCAAAUGUAUGAAAAAAAAUCUAUUGUCUUUAGGACAAAUAGAUAGUCUUGGCUAUAAAACUCAGGUGGAAAAUGGGAUCAUGAAGAUUGUCAGAAGUACGCUUGUAUUGAUGAAGGCAGAAAAUAUAUGUGCCAAUUUAUUCAUGCUUAAAGGGGAAACAUUGCAAGAAGCUACUGCUUGUGUUGCGUCAAAUAGAGAAGAAUCGACAAUGAUGUGCAUCUCAAACUUGGCCACAUGUGGAAACAAGGUUUGAAGAUUCUCUCUGGGAAAAAGUUGCUUCCAGGGCUUAAAUAGGUGAACUUAUCAUUUUGCGAGCACUGUGCUACAAGUAAGCAGCAUAGAUUAAAGUUUAGCAUAUCUGACAGCAUAAGUAAAUGCACUCUAGCAUAUCUGACAACAUAUGGACGUAUGCUAAAAGUCAAACCACAUAAAUUCUGGUGUCCCUGUAUGAUCAUUAUUUUUUUAUUUCAUUUAAAUUGCGUGUCUACUUCACCCACCCGAUUUUUCCCAACAAAAAGCUCAAAUCAGGAUAAUCAAAUGCACAUGUGUGUACUUCAAAAAAAUCAGACCAAAAAAUAUCACGUGUCAAGUGCUAGAACUUGAGCCUAAAAUAAUUCAUUUCAUUUUAUUACUUUGUUUUUGAAUAUUAAUACUAGCUAGUUUUAUAUAAUUCACUUUUGCUCCUUGUUUCUUGUUCCUUGUUAGAAUUGAUCAAUUGAGUUACUAACUUCUGUCCUUAUCUGGUUUUAAUGUAAGCUCUCUCUAUAAUUUAAUCAUUUUUUUUGUAACUCUCUCUGCAAAUUAAUCAAUUUUUUUAUGGACCUUGUGUAAUGGGGAUAUUUCGUCUCAAGUGAGAAUAUUUAUUCUGCAAAAAAACAUUUACAAAAGUUGUAAAUCUAGUUCAGGAUGGAUUAGUUUCAUAUUAAACAUUAGUGACAGCUCUAGUCUAAAAGUCACGUAAACAUUCCUAUUUUGGGCACGUAGCUCUUCACGGUUUGCUGUUCGACAAAAUCAUAACCGACUGUGUGGUCAAAGGGAGCAAAUAAAUCUGAUUUUUCUCCCCUUGAUGAUCAGAUAAAGGGUCGUCCUAGUUUAUUUUUCUAAAAUAUCACUGUCGCUGCGGUGCUGAAGUUCGUUUAGGUCUUUCUAGCUUCGAAUGCUGAAACGUUCGGCAAUACACAAAACAAAAAGUUGUCUCUUUAAUUUAUUUUUCUGUAUAUUUUAAAAUCACAAAAAAUUAAAUACCAAUUUAAUCGAUGUGACACAGCAAUCAUCAUUAUUUUAAAUUUCCUAUACAUUUUCGACUGACGUCAAAAUGAAGAUAAAAUGCAAUUACGUGAUAGAGCACAUAUAAAAUCAGAAACCUCAAAUCAGACUGCUAAACAUAAAAAUACAAUAUAUAUCACUCAAUUUAUUAUGUAGAAAUGAAUACAACAGUAGUCCUGCGUAGCCGAACUCAUCACGAGUCGUAUCCCAGAUUUAAAAACAAUAACAAAAAGAAUCCUCAAAAGGGAAAACACACAAAUUUGGAAAGUCUCAAAACAAGAAACAACAAAUAUAAUUUAUUGAUAUACAUCUGCAGAGAACCAGAUGAAGCUCGGGAAAGCAUUUGAAGAAAAUGGAAUUUAAGGAUUGGUGGUUGAGUGAGUUGGCAUCUCCUUGGGAAGACUCGGGAUGGGGGGAAAUGUCGGCUUAGGAAGCUCAGGUAGAUGGGGGAAAGAAGGCAAUUCAGGCGCCUUGGGCAACUCAGGCUUUGGAAGUUCAGGUACUUCGGGCUCCUUUGGCACCUCAGCCACUUUGGGCAACUCAGGCUUUGGAAGUUCAGGUACUUCGGGCUCUUUUGGCACCUCAGGCACUUUGGGCAACUCAGGCUUCGGAUGUUCAGGUACUUCGGGCUCUUUUGGCACCUCAGGCACUUUGGGCAACUCAGGCUUCGGAUGUUCAGGUACUUCGGGCUCUUUUGGCACCUCAGGCACUUUGGGCAACUCAGGCUUCGGAUGUUCAGGUACUUCGGGCUCUUUUGGCACCUCAGGCACUUUGGGCAACUCAGGCUUCGGAUGUUCAGGUACUUCGGGCUCUUUUGGCACCUCAGGCACUUUGGGCAACUCAGGCUUCGGAUGUUCAGGUACUUCGGGCUCUUUUGGCACCUCAGGCACUUUGGGCAACUCAGGCUUCGGAAGUUCAGGUACUUCAGGCUCUUUUGGCACCUCAGCUUUCGGAAUCUCUGGCAAUUCUGGUUCUUUUGGCAACUCAGGCUUUGGAAUCUCAGGUAAUUCAGGUUUCUUCGGUAGUUCUGGCUUUGGAAUCUCUGGUAAUUGAGGAUUUUUAGGAAGCUCAGGCUUUGGAAUCUCAGGUAAUUCAGGCUUUGGAAUUUGUGGUAUUUCAGGUUUUGGUAACGGUGGCAAUUCAACCUUAGGCAAUUCAGGCUUGGGGAUUUCUGGAACUGUUGCCUCUAGAAGAUGGCGAGCAGCGAUCAAAUCAAUGUUAAAGCUCAUUGACGAUAAAGCGAUUAGCAAAAGUGGUAGCAUAACGGAUGAGAAAGAGAAGGAUGCCAUUGUUGAUAUG